AUCAACCUCAUCAUCAUCAAGAGUUUAUCUACUCCAGUCUUUCCCCACUCGUCGCCUGAGUAUACAAUAUCUCUCUAUGUGUCCUGUGUUUCGUGCUCGUGUCUGCCUGCCUGAUCACUGGCCUGCCUGCUUGCUUGUUGUCGUUUCUCCCUUGAGGAUUUUUGGACACCUGUUUCCAGUUCCCUUUUUGGCAUUGUGUUUUCGUUGCACAAUUAAAGAACUGUUUGGAUUGUG
Non-coding RNA from Labrus bergylta (ballan wrasse), 234 nucleotides. The record is from RefSeq and is a predicted model, not a curated record. NCBI's taxonomy places the organism in Eukaryota, Metazoa, Chordata, Actinopteri, Labriformes, Labridae.